RNAcentral lists this ribosomal RNA (636 nucleotides) under Lactobacillus gasseri. Its description in RNAcentral is "bacterial SSU rRNA". It matches the Rfam family "Bacterial small subunit ribosomal RNA", at positions 375 to 1003 of the family's 1533-position model. Lineage: Bacteria; Bacillati; Bacillota; Bacilli; Lactobacillales; Lactobacillaceae. The record is from RNAcentral.
ACGCAAGUCUGAUGGAGCAACGCCGCGUGAGUGAAGAAGGGUUUCGGCUCGUAAAGCUCUGUUGGUAGUGAAGAAAGAUAGAGGUAGUAACUGGCCUUUAUUUGACGGUAAUUACUUAGAAAGUCACGGCUAACUACGUGCCAGCAGCCGCGGUAAUACGUAGGUGGCAAGCGUUGUCCGGAUUUAUUGGGCGUAAAGCGAGUGCAGGCGGUUCAAUAAGUCUGAUGUGAAAGCCUUCGGCUCAACCGGAGAAUUGCAUCAGAAACUGUUGAACUUGAGUGCAGAAGAGGAGAGUGGAACUCCAUGUGUAGCGGUGGAAUGCGUAGAUAUAUGGAAGAACACCAGUGGCGAAGGCGGCUCUCUGGUCUGCAACUGACGCUGAGGCUCGAAAGCAUGGGUAGCGAACAGGAUUAGAUACCCUGGUAGUCCAUGCCGUAAACGAUGAGUGCUAAGUGUUGGGAGGUUUCCGCCUCUCAGUGCUGCAGCUAACGCAUUAAGCACUCCGCCUGGGGAGUACGACCGCAAGGUUGAAACUCAAAGGAAUUGACGGGGGCCCGCACAAGCGGUGGAGCAUGUGGUUUAAUUCGAAGCAACGCGAAGAACCUACCAGGUCUUGACAUCCAGUGCAAACCUAAG